AUUCAAUUUGAGUUUUGCAGCAAAUUAGUUAUUUUUUCCAUUUUUACGCAUGUUGUCAGGUCACAUUUGAUGACUAUAAUGGAGCCAUUAGAUUUGUCAACAUAAGGAAUGUGCACUGGAGGUUUGUGAACAGUAUCUUCAUGCCCUUUCAAACCGCAUAUUUGUGGUUGAUCCUCUGCAAGGGUCAAAUGAAGUCGAGGACUCCAGAAAGGCUGGCCACAGAUUUGGACAGUAUUUCAAAAUGCGCCGGAACAGACUUGGAGAGGAGGACUGGGUUGACACCAAGUGGCAGCCGG
Molecule: long non-coding RNA, 296 nt
Organism: Cyclopterus lumpus (lumpfish)
Lineage: Eukaryota; Metazoa; Chordata; Actinopteri; Perciformes; Cyclopteridae
Exons: 3
Source: RefSeq, a predicted model, not a curated record